UAGGUCAGUAAAAAUUGGUAAUCCCAGGG
Molecule: small RNA, 29 nt
Filed under: Bombyx mori (domestic silkworm)
Lineage: Eukaryota; Metazoa; Arthropoda; Insecta; Lepidoptera; Bombycidae
Description: ovarian small RNA-3080
Source: RNAcentral